Molecule: long non-coding RNA, 1062 nt
Filed under: Oncorhynchus mykiss (rainbow trout)
Lineage: Eukaryota; Metazoa; Chordata; Actinopteri; Salmoniformes; Salmonidae
Description: lncRNA (ENSOMYG00000049682.1)
Source: RNAcentral
AUGGAUAAUCCAUUCCUUGGCUUGAAUAUAGCGCUGGUGAUUUUUGAAUCGGGUAAUAACUUUACUUUUCUCUCUUCCUCUUCCUCCCAUCUCCCCCAUUUCUUCCUCCCAUGUCCCCCAUUUCUUCCUCCCAUCUCCCCCAUUUCUUUCUUCCUCCCAUCUCCCCCAUUUCUUUCUUCCUCCCAUCUCCCCCAUUUCUUUCUUCCUCCCAUCUCCCCCAUUUCUUUCUUCCUCCCAUCUCCCCCGUUUCUCCCCUGUUUCUCUCCCCUCUCCUCCCCUGUUUCUCCCCCCCUCCCUUCCCUCUCCCUUCUCCUCCCCUGUUUCUCCCCCCCUCCCUUCCCUCUCCUCUCUGUUUCUCCCUCUCCCCUGUUUCCCCCCCUCCCCCUCUCCCCUCUCCUCCCCUGUUUCCCCCCCUCCCCUCUCCUCUUUGUUUCUCCCUCUCCCCUGUUUCCCCCCCUCCCCUCUCCUCUUUGUUUCUCCCUCUCCCCUGUUUCUCCUCCCCUCUCCUCCCCUGUUUCUCCCCCCCUCCCUUCCCUCUCCCCUGUUUUUCCUCCCCUCCCCUCUCCUCUCUGUUUCUUCCUCUCCCCUGUUUCUCCCCCCUCCCUUCCCUCUCCCCUCUUUCUCCUCCCCUCUCCUCUCUGUUUCUCCCUCUCCCCUGUUCCCCCCCCCUCCCCUCUCCUCUCUGUUUCUCCCUCUCCCCUGUUUCCCCCCCCCUCCCCUCUCCUCUCUGUUUCCCCCCCCCCCUCCCCUCUCCUCUCUGUUUCUCCCUCUCCCCUGUUUCCCCCCCCUCCCCUCUCCUCUCUGUUUCUCCCUCUCCCCUGUUUCUCCCCCCUCCCCCUCUCCCCUCUCCUUCCCUGUUUCUCCCUCUCCCCUGUUUCUCCCUCCACUCUUCUCUUCACAGUUGAAGAAGGCCAAACCCUCCAAGGAGCCCAAGAAGGAGAAGACGACAGCCGGGGAUUCUGGGAAGGGAAAGGGCAAAGGCAAAGGCAAGGGCAAAGCCAGGAAGUGACCCCUAACCUCUCAGACAACAAAAAAGCGAACUGUACAACACCUCUUCUCUGA